GCCUUCGUGGCUCAGCUGGUUAGAGCAUCCACAACGGUCCACCUAUCCGGAGAUCGCCAGUUCGAUCCUGGCCGAGGGCA
RNAcentral lists this transfer RNA (80 nucleotides) under Melampsora larici-populina 98AG31. RNAcentral's name for it is "tRNA-Gly (ACC) (tRNA-Gly-ACC-1-1)". Lineage: Eukaryota; Fungi; Basidiomycota; Pucciniomycetes; Pucciniales; Melampsoraceae. The record is from RNAcentral.